CUGUGUGGCACUUCCUGGUCUAAAGCUCUGCUAGACAAUUGCGGUUGGGUGCAGUGUCUCAUGCCUGUAAUCCCAGCACUUUGGAAGGCCAAGGCAGGAGGAUUGCUUGAGGCCAGGAAUUCAAGACCAGCCUGGGAAACAAACAUUUUCUUUGGAGCAUUUUCUUCUUUGGAGGAUUAUACCUUGCUCAUCUUGGCACAAAAGAAGGCGAAAGGAAGUAACAUGGGAUUGGGAAAAGAGCAAGGAGAUAAAGUUUGAGGAAAAAAAAUCACCAUGUUGAUGUCUUCUUGAGUAGGCCAAGUUGCGUAUAAAGAGAAAAUGACAACAGGAGAUUUUAAGGUAUGAUAUAUUGUUAAGAGUAGUACAUAUUUAAGAAGAG
This 379-nucleotide long non-coding RNA is filed under the name Homo sapiens (human). RNAcentral's name for it is "non-protein coding lnc-PGRMC2-3:8". Lineage: Eukaryota; Metazoa; Chordata; Mammalia; Primates; Hominidae. The record is from RNAcentral.